Molecule: small RNA, 64 nt
Organism: Cyanothece sp.
Lineage: Bacteria; Bacillati; Cyanobacteriota; Cyanophyceae; Gomontiellales; Cyanothecaceae
Rfam family: Cyanobacterial functional RNA 1
Source: Rfam
GCGGAGACAAACGUUUCCGUUCACUCCUCACACCACACUCCGCCCGGCACUUGUUCGGGCGGUU